Molecule: ribosomal RNA, 407 nt
Filed under: uncultured bacterium
Lineage: Bacteria
Description: bacterial SSU rRNA
Rfam family: Bacterial small subunit ribosomal RNA
Source: RNAcentral
UGGGGAAUAUUGCACAAUGGGCGCAAGCCUGAUGCAGCAACGCCGCGUGAGGGACGACGGCCUUCGGGUUGUAAACCUCUUUUGGCAGCGAAGAAGCGAAAGUGACGGUACCUGCAGAAAAAGCACCGGCUAACUACGUGCCAGCAGCCGCGGUGAUACGUAGGGUGCAAGCGUUGUCCGGAAUUAUUGGGCGUAAAGAGCUCGUAGGCGGUUUGUCGCGUCUGCUGUGAAAACCCGAGGCUCAACCUCGGGCCUGCAGUGGGUACGGGCAAACUAGAGUGCGGUAGGGGAGAUUGGAAUUCCUGGUGUAGCGGUGGAAUGCGCAGAUAUCAGGAGGAACACCGAUGGCGAAGGCAGAUCUCUGGGCCGUAACUGACGCUGAGGAGUGAAAGCAUGGGGAGCGAACA